This 198-nucleotide ribosomal RNA is filed under the name uncultured bacterium. Its description in RNAcentral is "partial 16S ribosomal RNA". It matches the Rfam family "Bacterial small subunit ribosomal RNA", at positions 1295 to 1500 of the family's 1533-position model. The record is from RNAcentral.
GGAUCGGAGUCUGCAACCCGACUCCGUGAAGCUGGAUUCGCUAGUAAUCGCGCAUCAGCCAUGGCGCGGUGAAUACGUUCCCGGGCCUUGUACACACCGCCCGUCAAGCCAUGGGAGCCGGGGGUGCUUGAAGUGCGUCGCCGCAAGGCGCGCCCUAGAGCAAAACCGGUGACUGGGGCUAAGUCGUAACAAGGUACC